Esox lucius (northern pike) is the source of this 1842-nucleotide long non-coding RNA. NCBI's taxonomy places the organism in Eukaryota, Metazoa, Chordata, Actinopteri, Esociformes, Esocidae. The record is from Ensembl.
GCUAUAAUAUCUACAUUAUUUCCUCUGGUGUGGUCAGAAAACCUCUUAGGGAUUUCAGAGAGGUAUAAUGUGUUGAUCUAACGUGUUAGACAGAUAUCGGAAUAAAUCGCAGAAGUCAAAAUUGCAAAAAGUUUCCCAGAUUACCCAAAUUCACCCUAACUGUAUCAUUCAUCCACUCGUCAAACGCCUGCCCGUCUGCCUGCCUCUCUGCCUGCCUGUCUGCCUGCCUCUCUGCCUGCCCGUCUGCCUGCCUGUCUGUCUGCCUGCCUGUCUGCCUGCCUCUCUGCCUGCCUGCCUGCCUGUCUGCCUGCCUCUCUGCCUGCCUGCCUGCCUGUCCGUCAUCUAUUUAUCUGUUCAUCUGUCUAAAAUAUAAGUGCAAGUAUUAUUUCACAAAAUGGAGGACUUAUUUUAGAUGGAUGGUUACAGUAGAUAGAUGAUAGAGGUACUUUAAAACUUUGCUAAUCCUUUUUUUUUACUUACACAAUCCCAUCAACAACUAAGACUUGCGUUUCGAUGUGUGUGGUUGAUUUAAAGAGUACGUAUCUCAUUAUUUAAACCUCCCAUGUUUAGAUUUGAACACACAUUGUAGCCUUCUUAUCGCUUACUUUCAUUGCAUUUCGUCCUUUCUUCACCACCCAUCAAACACUCUUAAUGACACACCUUCCCGACAAUCAGUCAUCUAUUCAUCUAUCCAACAGAUAAGUGCAAUCAUUAGUUCAGAAAAGAGAGGAAAUGUUUUAGAUAUUCUUCAAGAUAGAUGGAAAGAUACAGUACGUGAGUAGAUUAUAUUUUGUUUGAAACUUUCCUCAACCCCUUAAUGACAACACAACAAAAAGGCAUGAUUUUGAAUAUUAAUGGUUAAUAUGUCGAGUUCAGCCUUCCUUAAAAAAUACCAUAGCCAUGCUUUUGUGUUUGAGCUCAUUGGGCCUCAUUCGCCAACAUCUUCCUACGUUUUUGUCUUACAUUUGUUCUUGAAAAAGGUCCUAAGAAAAGUCCACAACAGAUUAAUGACGUGUUCUUGAAUUCUGGAACCUCAGUUUCCUCAGGAAAGUCCUGAGCUUGGACCACAGGCUACGAUUCCUCGAUGACGGACUAGAAAGGAGGAAUGGAGCAGAAAGAAAAUGACAAUGUUUUAAUAAUUUAACCAACUCUUGAAUGGCCUCUUAUCCUCAGCAUCCAAACAAUAAGAAAGCACAUACAAUCAUAGUAAGUAAAAAACAGACUUCACUUUAAAUGAUAAUUAGAAAACAGCUAAGGUGAUUCUGACAGUGUGAGAAAGAGAGACAAUUCAAAUAACAUGAAAAUAGAGAACAUAGACAGAUAGAAAGAGGCAAGUCUAUUGCACAGAAAUGAAGAAGCCAAAGGUCAGAAAGACAGCAGCCUUUAAAGGUAGAAACAGAAAGGUUUGUAAAGCAUCUAAUUAGCAGCUACCCAUUCAUACAUCUCUUCAGAAAGUACUCACCAUACACACUGGGUAGAGGUCUGUGUCUGUUUGUUUUCUGUCAUCCACAAGUUCUCCUCCUUCUCCUUCUGCUCCUCCUCCUCUUGUCUUUCUGUUAUCCUGUCCCAGAUGUCUGUGUUUACCCACAGGGAUCCAGCGAUGGGGAGACUGGCCCUGGUACAUGUGAUCCAGCGACACAGUGGGCAGCACACCAUCAGCAGGCCACUCUGGAGCCUGGAUAACGCCUGGAGACACUGCCCACAGAAGGUGUGCUUGCAGUGGAGCAUUUGAGGGAUCUUGUCCCUGCGUGAGUAGGACUGGAGGCAGACGCAGCACUCCAUGUCUUCACUCGUUAGUCCCAUGUCUGGUUGGCUGGGGUGUGGAUGGUCACAAGAUGGACA